UGGGGAAUAUUGCGCAAUGGACGAAAGUCUGACGCAGCGACGCCUCGUGAGGGACGAAGGUCUUCGGAUUGUAAACCUCUUUCAGCAGGGACGAAGCGAAAGUGACGGUACCUGCAGAAGAAGCACCGGCUAACUAUGUGCCAGCAGCCGCGGUAAUACAUAGGGUGCAAGCGUUGUCCGGAUUUAUUGGGCGUAAAGAGUUCGUAGGCGGUUUUUCGCGUCGGAUGGGAAAACUCAGGGCUCAACCCU
RNAcentral lists this ribosomal RNA (249 nucleotides) under uncultured Actinomycetales bacterium. RNAcentral's name for it is "partial 16S ribosomal RNA". It matches the Rfam family "Bacterial small subunit ribosomal RNA", at positions 355 to 616 of the family's 1533-position model. The record is from RNAcentral. Lineage: Bacteria; Bacillati; Actinomycetota; Actinomycetes; Actinomycetales.